This is a long non-coding RNA of Triticum aestivum (bread wheat), 1229 nucleotides long. RefSeq lists it as uncharacterized. The record is from RefSeq and is a predicted model, not a curated record. The transcript is spliced from 2 exons. Lineage: Eukaryota; Viridiplantae; Streptophyta; Magnoliopsida; Poales; Poaceae.
CCGCCCCCUUGCCAGAUCCUCACCGCGCGUGAGCGCCUCGUCCACAAAGCAGGCAGCCUCCCACGUGCCCCUCUCCCGCAACUUGUGCCCGACACCCCCGCCGGCGAUCUGCAGCAGCAACAGGACACCGCCGCCGUCGGAAGCAGCAGAGCCUCCCCCAUCCUACCACCGGCCUCCUCUCUCUCCUUCACCCUCUCUUGCGACGCACACAUGGGAGCUCAGAACGCGUUAAGUCGCCGGAACCUGCGCACUGCCGCCUGCCAUUGCGACCCUGCAUGCUCGCGUCAGCGGGAGCAUCUCCGGCACUGGCCUCGACCACGCCUCGUGGUGUCGACCUCCUCCUCCUCUUCCGGUGGAGAUUGGCAGGCCUCCUUUCCCAUUAAUUGUUGAUGCUCACCACUGGAUCCACGUCAUAGCAGCCGGAUCGACCGCCCUGACCACCAAGCGCCGCCUCGCCCUGUUCGUCUGGGACCUCUCCGUCGGCCUCGUACUCCUCCGCCCUGCCACCUGCUGCCUCGUAGUCCGUCAGGAGGAGGACGACCUUUGAAGGCAGGCCCUCCUCCCUCUUCUCCCUCUUCCCGAUCUCCUUCGCGCGGCCGAGGUAGGGGCUCGAUCCCGCGAGUGCCCGUCCGUCGAUCUUGCCAGCGUCCCUCGCCGUCGGCCUGUUCGGACGAUUGGACCCCCGCCUCUUCUUCCCUUUCUCUCUGCCUGCUUGCUCCUACAGCCGGCCGUCCAGCACGCCGUCAUCUUCCCUCGCAGAGGCGCCGCCUCUCUCUGCUCCUCUCGUGCUCCGAUCACCGCAAGCCGCCAACGAUUAAUUGUGUGCUUGGGAGAUUAGUACCACCUCGUUUAUAUUACAAUUUUGUCCAUACAAAUUAUAAAAGCAUAUUUUAACAUGAGAAGAAAGCGUAUUGUGACGGUGAACCCGGAGACCCAAUCUAUGCUUUAUUAUUAGGGAGAGACUAGCAAAAUAUGCCCGUGCGUUGCAACGGGAGAAACAGAUCCUUGCACAUCCCUACUAACCCAUAUGCAUUACCACUUCUUCCCUUCGCCACCAUUGUUGAUGAUGGUCUUGUUGUGCGCAUAUUCAUACCAAGGUGAUGAGCUUGGUCAUCAUACUCUAGCACGUCGUAUCGAGAGCCCCUUUUCCGUGCCAACUUGUAAUUAUGCGGACUUGUAAUGAUGGUGGGUUUUUGUCUCAACUACACUUGGUGCAUGUACCAUCACCA